This 594-nucleotide ribosomal RNA is filed under the name uncultured bacterium. RNAcentral's name for it is "bacterial SSU rRNA". It matches the Rfam family "Bacterial small subunit ribosomal RNA", at positions 100 to 692 of the family's 1533-position model. The record is from RNAcentral.
GCACGGGUGAGUAACGCGUAUCCAACCUUCCGUACACUCAGGGAUAGCCUUUCGAAAGAAAGAUUAAUACCUGAUGGUAUCUUAAACACACAUGUAAUUAAGAUUAAAGAUUUAUCGGUGUACGAUGGGGAUGCGUUCCAUUAGGUAGUAGGCGGGGUAACGGCCCACCUAGCCAACGAUGGAUAGGGGUUCUGAGAGGAAGGUCCCCCACAUUGGAACUGAGACACGGUCCAAACUCCUACGGGAGGCAGCAGUGAGGAAUAUUGGUCAAUGGACGAGAGUCUGAACCAGCCAAGUAGCGUGAAGGAUGAAGGUCCUACGGAUUGUAAACUUCUUUUAUAAGGGAAUAAAACCUCCCACGUGUGGGAGCUUGUAUGUACCUUAUGAAUAAGCAUCGGCUAACUCCGUGCCAGCAGCCGCGGUAAUACGGAGGAUGCGAGCGUCAUCCGGAUUUAUUGGGUUUAAAGGGAGCGCAGACGGGUCGUUAAGUCAGCUGUGAAAGUUUGGGGCUCAACCUUAAAAUUGCAGUUGAUACUGGCGUCCUUGAGUGCGGUUGAGGUGUGCGGAAUUCGUGGUGUAGCGGUGAAAUGCUUA